Molecule: ribosomal RNA, 444 nt
Filed under: uncultured bacterium
Lineage: Bacteria
Description: partial 16S ribosomal RNA
Rfam family: Bacterial small subunit ribosomal RNA
Source: RNAcentral
GUAGGGAAUAUUGGGCAAUGGACGAGAGUCUGACCCAGCCAUGCCGCGUGCAGGAAGACGGCGUUAUGCGUUGUAAACUGCUUUUAUCUGGGAAGAAAAAGUCCAUGCGUGGAAAAUUGCCGGUACCAGAUGAAUAAGCACCGGCUAACUCCGUGCCAGCAGCCGCGGUAAUACGGAGGGUGCAAGCGUUGUCCGGAUUUAUUGGGUUUAAAGGGUGCGUAGGCGGCUCUUUAAGUCAGUGGUGAAAGACCCCGGCUCAACCGGGGCAGUGCCAUUGAUACUGGGGAGCUUGAGUGUUGGAGGGGUACAUGGAAUUGAUGGUGUAGCGGUGAAAUGCAUAGAUACCAUCAGGAACACCGAUAGCGAAGGCAUUGUACUGGCCAACAACUGACGCUGAGGCACGAAAGCAUGGGUAGCGAACAGGAUUAGAUACCCGAGUAGUCC